RNAcentral lists this ribosomal RNA (461 nucleotides) under uncultured Clostridium sp. RNAcentral describes it as "bacterial SSU rRNA". It matches the Rfam family "Bacterial small subunit ribosomal RNA", at positions 8 to 484 of the family's 1533-position model. The record is from RNAcentral. Lineage: Bacteria; Bacillati; Bacillota; Clostridia; Eubacteriales; Clostridiaceae.
AGAGUUUGAUCCUGGCUCAGGACGAACGCUGGCGGCGUGCCUAACACAUGCAAGUCGAGCGAUGAAGUUUCCUUCGGGAAAUGGAUUAGCGGCGGACGGGUGAGUAACACGUGGGUAACCUGCCUUAUAGUGGGGGAUAGCCUUUCGAAAGGAAGAUUAAUACCGCAUAAGAUUGUAGUAUCGCAUGAUAUAGCAAUCAAAGGAGCAAUUCGCUAUAAGAUGGACCCGCGUCGCAUUAGCUAGUUGGUGAGGUAAUGGCUCACCAAGGCGACGAUGCGUAGCCGACCUGAGAGGGUGAUCGGCCACAUUGGGACUGAGACACGGCCCAGACUCCUACGGGAGGCAGCAGUGGGGAAUAUUGCACAAUGGGCGAAAGCCUGAUGCAGCAACGCCGCGUGAGUGAUGACGGCCUUCGGGUUGUAAAACUCUGUCUUCAGGGACGAUAAUGACGGUACCUGAGG